RNAcentral lists this long non-coding RNA (6547 nucleotides) under Sus scrofa (pig). RNAcentral's name for it is "lncRNA (ENSSSCG00000052253.1)". Lineage: Eukaryota; Metazoa; Chordata; Mammalia; Artiodactyla; Suidae. The record is from RNAcentral.
GAAGUUUAGGAGUUGAGGAAAGAAGAUUAAAGAGCGCGAGGAGAUCUCACAGACCAGUGGAAUAAAGGCCUUUUGCAUAUGAGGAUCAGGUGACAAGUUAACUGGCUACCAACCUCCAAAGCAAUUCGCCCUUUCAUGUCACACAAAAAGAAGUGUUAAGGAUUGCCCUUUGAGACACUGAAGGCUAAAGACUGCCUGAAGUUACAUUUAGAGACUGAAAUCACUGCACCUUAAAAACAAAAGAUUGAGCUGCACUGCAUUCCUGUAAGUGAAAGCUUCCUCUACCUUCCUCUGUGUUUUUGUGACCAACUCAAAAAAGAACAAAAAUAUUGGUAACAUAGUAACCAGACAUGAGUAAAAAUUUGAAUAUCUCUGAAGAAAUACAUGUUUAAAUGAUUUCCCUUUUUUAAAAAAGAAAAUUUUUUGGGCUCAAUAUUCUGUAUGUCUUUUUUAUCCAACCUAAAUUGUGAAUCCUUUCUUUUGGCUGGUUUGAAUUGCAUUAAGGGAGGGUGUCACCCACCAUACAUCAGCACAGUGACAUACACCCUGUCAGGAAGGAAUCUUACAUUUUGGUACAAGUCUCUUUGAAGGUUACAGAUUUCUUAUGGAACCAAAGUAGAUUCCUUUUUCCUUUGUGAUGUCAUUAGAAAUUUUUAGCCUUUGUGUCAAUGUAAAUGGAGAGAAAGAAAGUUCAUGAUGACAUCACAAGAUUCUGUUGCCUUGAGGACUUUGGGCAAAACUAAGUAAAAUGCAUAAUUCCCUUGUGUGCGUGUGUUCCCCAUUCUGCUAUGAAGCAGUCAAAAUAGCACAUCUUAUGUCUUCCCGUGAGCUACAAGCCUGUCUCUCAGAGCCCCAUUGUUCCAUAAAUGCAUGUCAGAGUCUACCACAGUCUGGUCUACCCUUAUUUAGCUGCUGUUUUGUCAAUGUACUUGGAAGAACAAUUAACAUUUGGGAUUUCAAUGUCUGAAUAACAGGCAGUGAAUAGAGCCCAAGCAUAUAAAAGAUUCAAACGCCCAGGGUAAGAAAACAGAAGCUUAUAGUUGUCAAUGUUUUUUUGUUUUUGUUUUUAUUUUUUUUUAAUCUUAGAUCAAAAUGUACAUUUUGGUAAUGAAAUCCAGAAGAUUAUGAUGUCUUCCUAAGUUGUGCAAUUUAAUAUGUUGAGAUGCCUUUUGCUUGAAACACUUAAAUAACAUUCAUCUCCUUGUGUCAUUGUUGGAAUGCCGGAUGUGGGGUAUACUGAAUUGUAGUUUUCAGUGUCAUAGUGCCUAUCGGCAGAGUACAUGGAAGGUGAUUCAGAUGAUUUCCUCCAUUUUCACUUGAGUUUACUGCACUCUUUCAUUAUUGCCUGUAAUUCCUGUAUGUUUGCUGUAUACAGUUCUAAUGUUGCCUAAAUAUUUUUGCCUAUUGUCUGAAUUCCUGCUAGGUCCCUUUUUUUUUUUUUUUUGAGAGAGGAUAUGUGGACAGAGCAAGAUCAACUCACUAUCAGGGUAUCUGGUAAACUGGAGGAAAUUUUGGCAGCUUAUGUAUUUUGCCCACUGAGCACAGUGCCUGGCUGAUAUGAGUGAAUAAAUGAUGGUUAUUGUUAUUUUUGUCAUAACUACAAUGGUCCAAAAUGAUAGAUAGUAAGAUCUCUAAAAUCAGGGUCUAUUGCUUAUUCAUUUUUGUAAUCCUCAGUGCUUGGUAUAAUAAUAGUAAUCAAGAAAUAGCUGUUGUUAUUAAUACAAUCAGAAAAUUUGUUAAGUUAGAACUUUAGGAAUAUUCAUUCAGAGAAUAUUUAUUGUGAAGAGGGGUUGAAUAAAGUUUUUGACAGUCAGGAAGAUAAUUAUAAAGGAACUUGUCAAAGACAAACCGACUAUUCCCCAUAUAACAUUAGAUAUCAAUCUCCUAGUCUUUUCCCUCUUUGACUUUAUACUCCUUUCUCCUGACCAGAAUGAGAAGUAUCCAUUCAUACCAUAUCCUUUUUGUCUGUGAGGAGGUCUUUAGUAGUUUUCUGUUUAAAUUGUGUGUCUUACUUCCCAUACACUGGAGUUGUCUCCAAAGAUAAAUGUAUGUGACUCCAGGAUGGAUGGUGCCCUGUACCUAUUUGUUUAAUUGAUAUGCAGUGGACUGUGCUUCAAGGUACAAAGAUAUUGAGUCAAGAGGCCAGAGUUUUGGGAAGUUGCCAUUAUAAACUUCUACUUUCAGUUCAUCAAAAGCCAGGACCAGUUUCUCAGCACAAGUAAGACCAUAGCAUUCUUUAGAACUCAGAACCAUUUGACUACUUCUAAGUUUAGCUUCCUGGUUGGUUGUUUUUUUUGGCAUAAAGUUCUCUGUCCUCCCUCACCAAUUUUAAUUUAUUUCUAAAAGGGGUCCCUUCAUUUUUAUUAAAUUAGCUUCUGGUGAUGCAAAUUAAGGCUCUCAUAAAACUUGGCCUCUGAGGCAAAGCUAAAAUGAUAAAAUUUUGUACUGUUAUCAUGUUGAAUACCAUUUAGGGAUAUCAAAGAACUUUAUAAACACAUUUCACAUUUUUUAAGAUUAAAAGAUUGAGGUGAGAGGGAUUGAAGGGCAGAGCAUCAUCAAACAUUAUAGUUAGAAAUGAUGAAAGAAAUAAAAGUCCAAUCAUCACAUUUUGUUUUGUUUUGUUUUGUUUUAUUUUAUUUUAUUUUAUUUUAUUUUAUUUUAUUUUAUUUUAUUUUAUUUUAUUUUUUGUCAUUUUAGGGCUGCAACUGAAGCAUAUGGAAGUUCCCAGGCUAGGGGUCAAAUCGGAGCUACAGUUGCUAGCCUCCACCACAGCAACAGUGAUGCAGGAUCUGAGCUGUGUUUGUGACCUUACACCACAGUUCACAUCAACGCCAGGAUCCUUAACCCACUGAGCGAGGUCAGGGAUUGAUCGAACCUGCGUCCUCAAGGACAGUAGUUGGGUUCAUUCUGCUGAGCCACGAAGGGAGCUCCUAAACCCAAUUUUAGACUCUGAGGCUUUGAUCUUUCUUCUACACUCAGAGUCUGAGCUGUGUUUCCCAAGGAACAAAUUGCCUGAGGCUCAUUUUAUAAGACAUUGAACUGUGGCCUCCUCUAUCAACUGGUCCAAAAUUCAUAUAUAAAGAUAUUAUAAAAAUAUCUAUUAUUAUCAAAAAAGUUAUUUUUUUCUUAUACAUUUUGAUAUCGUGCUUCUGGUUGUGUGUUGAGUCAUGUAAAGGCAAAUUUAUGUGGUUGAUUUCAUAUCCUUUAUGAUGAUUUACAAAGUGGACAGAAGACCAUUAGAAACUUCAGUAGUUUAAUUUGGGCUUACAGGCAAGAUUAAACCAGUAAUCUGAACAGAGCAAUUGUGACAUGGAAUUCAGCCUUCCCAAGAAGGUGCAUCAUGCAUGGUGUCAGAAUGUCAUUUUUGCCAAGGGUCAUUUCCAUCAGAGCAAAGUUUUUCAAAGUCUGAAAAAAUUGAAAUAAAUUUUAAUUACUUGAAAUGAAUUACUUGCCUUAGUAAUUUAUUUCAGGAUUCCUUACUGUAUUCUGUCAUUUAGCAAUACAGAGAGAACAGUGUAGAAACUUUUUUAUUAUUUUACCCAGUGCUAAGUCCUAGAUACAGCUUAGUUUCUUUCCCAAAUGUGUAUAUCCCCUCCAGACCUUCCUACAUCCCACCAUGAAAAAACUCAAGACACUGUGUAUAAAAAAUUAGUUAUCUAUGUCUUUGUGUCCCAGAGAUGGAGGCAGUAUUCUACCUUUAAACAUUUCAUGGGAGCUCUGGCAUAUAGAGAAGAAAGUAUAAUUGGAGCACGAGGAUGCCAGAGCAGGGCCCUGGAUGUAAGUGCUUAACAAGAUUCUCCUAAUCAUGAAUGAAAAUUUAUUUUAUGCUUCUUUGAACAUAUCAUUCUACCAGAAUAUGCAGAUAAAAUAACACCUAUUUUCUUUCAUCGAGGAGUUCAUAAACUGACUGGACAACUGAUUUAUCUUUCUUAUAGACAAAAUAUUUUAUGGGUAAAAUAAAUAAAUGGUUAUCAUUUCUUCUGGACCAUCAAGGAAUAAUACGAUAUUAACAAGCAGCCUAAGCAGAGGGAAUGUGAGGUAACAAUGCUAAUGGUGUGAUUUGAGUAUAGAAUGCUGGUUGGAGCCAGCAUUUUCCGAAGUAUAGGUUGCAACCCAUUCAUAGGUCAUGAAAUCAGUUUAGGGGGUCAUAGUUAAGAUGCUUUUAAUGAAAUAGAAUCAAAAGAAGAAAUAUUACAAAAAGAUUGUGUUACAUAUUUUUAGGAUAUGGAUUGAAAAAUGCAUUUCUUACUGGGACUUUGCCACCAAAAUAUGAAAGCAUAUCUAAAGAUGAUAGGUCUUUUAAAUACUCACCUUGUAUAAUCCUGACUAAGGGAUAUAUAUUUUUCCCUAUUUUAACAUAUGAGAAAGUUGAUUAUUUAAGCAGUUUGUCCCAGGUCAUACAAAAGGUAAAUGGUUCAGAUAGGAUGUGAAUGUCUAUCAAACUCCACAUGAAUAUUUCUCCCAUGAUUUGACAGUUUUGCAGGGUUGUGUGACUUCUUUUAUUUCACUGUAGAUAGCUCAUACAUUUAUAUCUUGUCUCAAACUACAGUCCUAAAUUUCCAAUUUCCUUAUUUACAUCUUCAACUAGGUAUCACACCAAUUUUUCCUUUUUUUUUUUUUUUUUUUUGUCUUUUUGUCUUUUGUCUUUUGUUGUUGUUGUUGUUGCUAUUUCUUCGGCUGCUCCUGCGGCAUAUCGAGGUUCCCAGGCUAGGAGUUGAAUCGGAGUUGUAGCCACCGGCCUACGCCAGAGCCACAGCAACGCGGGAUCCGAGCCGCGUCUGCAACCUACACCACAGCUCACGGCAACGCCGGAUCGUUAACCCACUGAGCAAGGGCAGGGACCGAACCCGCGACCUCAUGGUUCCUGGUCGGAUUCGUUCACCACUGCGCCACAACGGGAACUCCCACACCAAUUUUUCAGAGUCAGUGUAUUAAAACUGUAAUAAGCCUCCUAGUUAAAAAUCAUCCUCCUUUUGACUAUUCUAAUUUUCUUCACCCCAAUCCUCCAGGUUACCUUGACUCCAAAUAUCUCAUUAUUGCCCCCCAAGUAUUCAAUAAGUGGCCAAGUCUUAUUUUUUUUUUUUUUUUUUGGUCUUUUUGCUAUUUCUUUGGGCCGCUCCCACAGCAUAUGGAGGUUCCCAGGCUAGGGGUCAAAUCGGAGCUGUAGCCCCCGGCCUACGCCAGAGCCACAGCAAUGCAGGAUCCGAGCCGCGUCUGCGACCUACACCACAGCUCAUGGCAACGUAGGAUCGUUAACCCACUGAGCAAGGGCAGGGACGGAACCCGCAACCUCAUGGUUCCUAGUCGGAUUCGUUAACCACUGAGCCACGACGGGAACUCCCAAGUCUUCUUAAUUUUUCUUUUUUGGUACCUCUGUCCUAGUCUGGUUUUCAUCUUCUCUUGCUUAUAACCUCUAAUUGGGAGAAAAAGGAGGAAAGAAGACCAGUUCAUUCUCAACUCUGUUGCCCCAUCAGUUUUCAUGAAGCAGGAGCCCUCAGAUCACAUCACUUUUAUUCCAACAAAACUUGAAUAUUCUAUACUAAUUACCAAGCAAUUCCUAACCUAUAUUCAUGACAACCUGAUAGCACCCACCUAUCCUUUUUUUGAGACAUAAAUAACUUUCUAUUUUUUUAAACAAUAUUUCUGGACAUGUCCUUUUUUUAACUAGGAAGCAAAUUCUUAGGGAUGGGGUCCAUAUUUAUUUAUUUAUUUAUUUAUUUAUUUUUGCUAUUUCUUGGGCUGCUCCCACGGCAUAUGGAGAUUCCCAGGCUAGGGGGUCUAAUCGGAGCCGUAGCCACCAGCCUACACCAGAGCCACAGCAACACAGGAUCCGAGCCGCGUCUGCAACCUACACCACAGCUCACGGCAACGCCGGAUCGUCAACCCACUGAGCAAGGGCAGGGACCGAACCCGAAACCUCAUGGUUCCUAGUCGGAUUCCUUAAUCACUGCACCACGACGGGAACUCCGAGAUGGGGUCCAUAUUUAAAUAACAAUUCUCAACCUAUAGAAUUUACUACAAUAGAAUCAUUAAUUCAUUAUUCAGCCAUCCUUAAUACUGGGAAUAUAGAGAUGAUCCAUUAGGGUCUCAUGGAAUUUAUAGUCUCCUAAGGGAAUCAGAAAUUAAAUAAGUAAAGAAAUAAUUACAAAAUUAGAAAAUAUAGUCCAUGAAAAGAGCUAAUAGCUAUGUAAGACAACAAUGGGUGGGGAAGAUCUAUUAUAUUGUCCCUUGGGUGCUCAAGAAAGAAUUCUCAGAGAAAGUGUCAACUUAAAGCUGAGAGUUGAAGGACAGAAGAAUCUGCUAGAUGAAGAAUUUGGGUUGGGGAUGGAAGCAUGAGAAGGAGAGACAGCUCCAGAGAGAAACAGCAUAGGCAAAGCAUUGAGGCAAGGACAAACUUUGUGUAGUCAGGAAAUAAAGGGAUUCUAGAGUGGCUAGAGAGAAGGGAGCAAAGGAGGAAAGUGACUGGAGGUGAGGUCAGAGAAGUAGCCAGAGUAGGGAAUUUGAAUUUUAUUCUGAAUACCCUGGAAAAGCACAUAGUAGAUAUACC